UGGGCAUAUGAAGGUGUUUGCUUCAAUCC
This 29-nucleotide non-coding RNA is filed under the name Homo sapiens (human). Lineage: Eukaryota; Metazoa; Chordata; Mammalia; Primates; Hominidae. The record is from RNAcentral.